This is a long non-coding RNA of Selaginella moellendorffii, 222 nucleotides long. RefSeq lists it as uncharacterized. NCBI's taxonomy places the organism in Eukaryota, Viridiplantae, Streptophyta, Lycopodiopsida, Selaginellales, Selaginellaceae. The record is from RefSeq and is a predicted model, not a curated record. The transcript has 2 exons.
ACGGCGAGAGACUUAUCUUCAUCAAGACAAGUUUGCAAGCACUGGUACGCUCUGUGUUCAUCAGACUGUCUGUGGGAGAAAUUCGUCGGCUCAAGUCAAGCCAACUUACCAAGAUGGCUGGUGCAUAAGCACAGCACGCUACUGUCGUCUCGAAGCACUCGCGUUUUAUAUUUCACGAACAGAUACACGUUUCUGAUUCAAGCCUUGGAUGCAUGGUGGGAA